This is a non-coding RNA of Peromyscus maniculatus bairdii (prairie deer mouse), 593 nucleotides long. The record is from RefSeq and is a predicted model, not a curated record. Lineage: Eukaryota; Metazoa; Chordata; Mammalia; Rodentia; Cricetidae.
GACAACUCUGCUGAUGUCCAUGCCAUUAUUUCCUCCCAUUGGGUUGACUUGUGUUUCUAUAUCUGAAGUUAAAUAAACCCUGCCUCCUGUAAGUAGAUCUUUGCCAACUAUUAGAUCAUAACCAGGAAAAAAUUACUAGUAGAGUGGCUUGACACAAGAAUGUGAGAGAAAAAAAUUAAAAAUCACUAUGGAUUUUUCCAAGCCUUGAUUGGACCAUUGCAUGUGACAUCACAUGGAGUCCAAGUGAUGUAAGCUAGAUAUCAGCCAAUAAAAGGGCGCCACCUAGGGCUGGGUUUUGUCUUUGUACUUCAAAGAAGCAGUUGGUUGGUGGGAGAGCAGUUGGAUUCAGUUGCUUCUGCUAAAUUUGGACUUUUCAAAGCCUGUUGGAUCUCGACUUACAUUGUGUGGGGCUGAGAUUGCCCUCAAGAUAAAGUGGUUGAAAUUGAGCAGAACACCAUGGGCAGCCACAUGGAAGAGGACUAUCUUGAAAAGGAUUUCAGGAUGUUAACAUCUCUAGGUUGUGGUUCCUUCGGGGAGGUGAAGCUGGCCUGCCACCUUCCCACACAUACACAAGUGGCUGUCAAGGUCCUUGA